Molecule: ribosomal RNA, 406 nt
Filed under: uncultured bacterium
Lineage: Bacteria
Description: partial 16S ribosomal RNA
Rfam family: Bacterial small subunit ribosomal RNA
Source: RNAcentral
AUUGAACGCUGGCGGCAGGCCUAACACAUGCAAGUCGAACGAGUGGCGGACGGGUGAGUAAUGUCUGGGAAACUGCCUGAUGGAGGGGGCUAACUACUGGAAACGGUAGCUAAUACCGCAUACCAUCGGAUGUGCCCAGAUGGGAUUAGCUAGUGGGUGGGGUAAAGGCUCACCUAGGCGACGAGCCCUAGCUGGCCUGAGAGGGUGACCAGCCACACUGGAACUGAGACACGGUCCAGACUCCUACGGGAGGCAGCAGUGGGGAAUAUUGCGCAAUGGGCGAAAGCCUGACGCAGCCAUGCCGCGUGUAUGAAGAAGGCCUUCGGGUUGUAAAGUACUUUCAGCGGGGAAGCGUUACCCGAAGAAGAAGCACCGGCUAACUCCGUGCCAGCCGCCGCGGUAAUUC